This 28-nucleotide non-coding RNA is filed under the name Homo sapiens (human). The record is from RNAcentral. Lineage: Eukaryota; Metazoa; Chordata; Mammalia; Primates; Hominidae.
UCCACCAGAGAAGAUGGCUCUUGAUCCU